Molecule: ribosomal RNA, 1258 nt
Filed under: Salmonella enterica subsp. enterica serovar Typhimurium
Lineage: Bacteria; Pseudomonadati; Pseudomonadota; Gammaproteobacteria; Enterobacterales; Enterobacteriaceae
Description: partial 23S ribosomal RNA
Rfam family: Bacterial large subunit ribosomal RNA
Source: RNAcentral
GGGUUGUGAGGUUAAGCGACUAAGCGUACACGGUGGAUGCCCUGGCAGUCAGAGGCGAUGAAGGACGUGCUAAUCUGCGAUAAGCGCCGGUAAGGUGAUAUGAACCGUUAUAACCGGCGAUUUCCGAAUGGGGAAACCCAGUGUGAUUCGUCACACUAUCAUUAACUGAAUCCAUAGGUUAAUGAGGCGAACCGGGGGAACUGAAACAUCUAAGUACCCCGAGGAAAAGAAAUCAACCGAGAUUCCCCCAGUAGCGGCGAGCGAACGGGGAGGAGCCCAGAGCCUGAAUCAGCAUGUGUGUUAGUGGAAGCGUCUGGAAAGGCGCGCGAUACAGGGUGACAGCCCCGUACACAAAAGCGCAUGUGCUGUGAGCUCGAUGAGUAGGGCGGGACACGUGGUAUCCUGUCUGAAUAUGGGGGGACCAUCCUCCAAGGCUAAAUACUCCUGACUGACCGAUAGUGAACCAGUACCGUGAGGGAAAGGCGAAAAGAACCCCGGCGAGGGGAGUGAAAAAGAACCUGAAACCGUGUACGUACAAGCAGUGGGAGCCCCACCACUAAGCCAGUGGUGAACUCCACAUCCGCAUCCUUUGCUGAGGAUACGGUUAACGGAGCGAAAGCGACGUUCAACCGCAAAACAAGCAGAGGGGGCUUAGUGGUGGGGUGACUGCGUACCUUUUGUAUAAUGGGUCAGCGACUUAUAUUCUGUAGCAAGGUUAACCGAAUAGGGGAGCCGGAGGGAAACCGAGUCUUAAUUGGGCGUUAAGUUGCAGGGUAUAGACCCGAAACCCGGUGAUCUAGCCAUGGGCAGGUUGAAGGUUGGGUAACACUAACUGGAGGACCGAACCGACUAAUGUUGAAAAAUUAGCGGAUGACCUGUGGCUGGGGGUGAAAGGCCAAUCAAACCGGGAGAUAGCUGGUUCUCCCCGAAAGCUAUUUAGGUAGCGCCUCGUGAAUUCAUCUCCGGGGGUAGAGCACUGUUUCGGCUAGGGGGCCAUCCCGGCUUACCAACCCGAUGCAAACUGCGAAUACCGGAGAAUGUUAUCACGGGAGACACACGGCGGGUGCUAACGUCCGUCGUGAAGAGGGAAACAACCCAGACCGCCAGCUAAGGUCCCAAAGUCAUGGUUAAGUGGGAAACGAUGUGGGAAGGCCCAGACAGCCAGGAUGUUGGCUUAGAAGCAGCCAUCAUUUAAAGAAAGCGUAAUAGCUCACUGGUCGAGUCGGCCUGCGCGGAAGAUGUAACGGGGCUAAACCAU